UUGAACGCUGGCGGAAUGCUUUACACAUGCAAGUCGAGCGGCAGCGCGGGGGCAACCUUGGCGGCGAGCGGCGAACGGGUGAGUAAUGUAUCGGAACGUACCUUGUCGUGGGGGAUAACGCAGCGAAAGUUGUGCUAAUACCGCAUACGUCCUGAGGGAGAAAGCGGGGGAUCGCAAGACCUCGCGCGAUAAGAGCGGCCGAUAUCUGAUUAGCUAGUUGGUGGGGUAAGGGCCUACCAAGGCGACGAUCAGUAGCUGGUCUGAGAGGACGACCAGCCACACUGGGACUGAGACACGGCCCAGACUCCUACGGGAGGCAGCAGUGGGGAAUUUUGGACAAUGGGGGAAACCCUGAUCCAGCCAUUCCGCGUGAGUGAAGAAGGCCUUCGGGUUGUAAAGCUCUUUCGGCAGGGAAGAAAAGGCUACGGAUAAUACCUGUGGUUCAUGACGGUACCUGAAGAAGAAGCACCGGCUAACUACGU
This 482-nucleotide ribosomal RNA is filed under the name uncultured bacterium. RNAcentral describes it as "bacterial SSU rRNA". It matches the Rfam family "Bacterial small subunit ribosomal RNA", at positions 29 to 506 of the family's 1533-position model. The record is from RNAcentral.